GACGAACGCUGGCGGCGUGCUUAACACAUGCAAGUCGAACGAUGAAGCUAGAGCUUGCUCUGGUGGAUUAGUGGCGAACGGGUGAGUAACACGUGAGUAACCUGCCCCGAACUCUGGAAUAACUGCUGGAAACGGUAGCUAAUACCGGAUAUGACCAAUGAAGGCAUCUUCUGUUGGUGGAAAGAAUUUCGGUUCGGGAUGGACUCGCGGCCUAUCAGCUUGUUGGUGAGGUAACGGCUCACCAAGGCGACGACGGGUAGCCGGCCUGAGAGGGUGAUCGGCCACACUGGGACUGAGACACGGCCCAGACUCCUACGGGAGGCAGCAGUGGGGAAUAUUGCACAAUGGGCGCAAGCCUGAUGCAGCAACGCCGCGUGAGGGACGACGGCCUUCGGGUUGUAAACCUCUUUUAGUAGGGAAGAAGCGAAAGUGACGGUACCUGCAGAAAAAGCACCGCCUAACUACGUGCCAGCCGCCGCCGUAA
Molecule: ribosomal RNA, 484 nt
Filed under: uncultured bacterium
Lineage: Bacteria
Description: partial 16S ribosomal RNA
Rfam family: Bacterial small subunit ribosomal RNA
Source: RNAcentral